This 490-nucleotide ribosomal RNA is filed under the name uncultured bacterium. RNAcentral describes it as "bacterial SSU rRNA". It matches the Rfam family "Bacterial small subunit ribosomal RNA", at positions 28 to 518 of the family's 1533-position model. The record is from RNAcentral.
GACGAACGCUGGCGGCGUGCCUAACACAUGCAAGUCGAACGAAGUUUUUAUGGAAUGCGACUUCGGUCAAAUGAAGUUUAAACUUAGUGGCGGACGGGUGAGUAACGCGUGAGCAACCUGCCUUUCAGAGGGGGGAUAACGUUUGGAAACGAACGCUAAUACCGCAUGAUAUAACGUAAUCGCAUGAUUGUGUUAUCAAAGGAGCAAUCCGCUGAAAGAUGGGCUCGCGUCCGAUUAGAUAGUUGGUGGGGUAACGGCCUACCAAGUCGACGAUCAGUAGCCGGACUGAGAGGUUGAUCGGCCACAUUGGGACUGAGACACGGCCCAGACUCCUACGGGAGGCAGCAGUGGGGAAUAUUGCACAAUGGGGAAACCCUGAUGCAGCGACGCCGCGUGAGGGAAGAAGGUAUCGAUUGUAAACCUCUGUCUUCGGGGACGAUAAUGACGGUACCCGAGGAGGAAGCACCGGCUACUACGUGCCAGCAGCCGC